Oncorhynchus mykiss (rainbow trout) is the source of this 1063-nucleotide non-coding RNA. The record is from RefSeq and is a predicted model, not a curated record. NCBI's taxonomy places the organism in Eukaryota, Metazoa, Chordata, Actinopteri, Salmoniformes, Salmonidae.
ACAAGCCUGUAUCUCCAUACGGUGGUUAUAGUGGUCAGCUCCGCAGCUGUGUGUACCAGCCCACAGAACUAGCUCUAAUCACCAAGAGCCUGGCAAAUAGGGACCAGUCCCAUGAGACGGGCCUCCCCAGGGCCACGGCCCCCCCUCUAAACCAGAGCAGCAGCUCCCUGCCUCACUCUCUAGUGCCCCUACCCACCACAGGACUGUCCCCGGCAGUCAGUGGAAAUGGUGUGUAUAAGAAGCCUCUGUGGUGAAUCUAUGCUACGCUACUACAACCUGGUUCCUGUUCUUCACUCUCCCCCUAUUCUACUCUGUGCCCUAGUUUUCCCUGCAGCCCCAAAACCCAGAGCCUUUGACCACUGUAGAGGCCAGGCUGUUCUGUACAUACAGUAGGGCUGGAGGGAGCCAGUGUCAGAGGAGAGGCCACAGUCUUGGUGCUGUGCACCCAGAACAAGUGUGUCUCUCAUCUCCCUGUGUCUCAUCCAGACUGUCCCAGUGGCAGUACUAGCCACCCUCCACCUACCCAUCUCCCAAGCCAGCACUCCCCACCCCCGGGCCACAACCCCAUGCACUGAUGGGAGAUCCAACCAACACAGCAACACACAGCAGUGUGGCCAGAGUGAAUGGACAACAAGGCAAAAGGAAUUUGUUGCACAGCCAUAAAAACCUUUCAGUCUAAGCCCUGUAAAAAAUCUAAAGGAAGUUUGUUCUGAAGUGUCUGUCCUAUAUAUAAGAAAUACUUCAAAAACAGUUUUUUACAUGACCACUUAUUUUUUGGAACUAAACUCCAUAUAUACUUCCAUUCAUUUGGUACUGGGGGACCUUCAGACGAGUCCUGUGAAAGCCUCUGGGCAUCCUAGAGCAAAUGUACAGUGGCUUGCGAAGUAUUCACGAUUUUUCCUAUUUUAUUGCCUUACAACCUGGAAUUAAAAUAGAUUUUUCGGGGGUUUGUUUCAUCUGAUUUACACAACAACAUUUGAAGAUGUAAAUUCAUUUAUAUUGUGAAACAAACAAGAAAUAAGACAAAAAAAACUGAACUUGAGCGUGCAUAACUAUUCACUGU